Glycine soja is the source of this 2621-nucleotide long non-coding RNA. RefSeq lists it as uncharacterized. The transcript is spliced from 4 exons. NCBI's taxonomy places the organism in Eukaryota, Viridiplantae, Streptophyta, Magnoliopsida, Fabales, Fabaceae. The record is from RefSeq and is a predicted model, not a curated record.
GGCAAGAACAUUAUUUCAUAUGAUGAUUGAAAGAGGUGAACAACCUUGACACUAUUACUUACACUAUUUUGAUGCAUGAAUAUUGUUUAAUUGGUAAAGUGAAUGAGGCAAGAAAUUUAUUUCAUGGGAUGAUUGAAAGGGGUUUGGUGCCUGAUGUUUGGAGCUAUAACAUCUUGAUUAAAGGUUAUUGCAAGUUUGAAAGAGUGGGUGAAGCUAUGUAUUUACUUGAAGAUAUUUUUCUUAUGAAUUUAGUUCCAAACAUUAUAACUUACAAUUCUGUAGUUGACGGCUUAUGCAAAUCUGUCGGAAUUUUGGAUGCAUGGAAGCUUGUUGAUGAAAUGCAUUAUUGUGGUCAACCACCUCCAGAUGUAACCUCUUACAAUAACUUGUUAGAGUCUUCAUGUAGAAUUGAGCGUGUUGAAAAGACAAUUGCAUUUUUUAAACACCUCAUCUUUGAAAGAAGUUUUGCACCUAAUGUUUGGAGUUACAACAUCUUGAUUAGUGGUUGUUGCAAGAAUAGAAGAUUGGAUGAAGCCAUUAAUCUUUUUAAUCAUAUGUGUUUCAAGAUUUUGGUUCCAGAUAUUGUAACAUACAAUAUGUUCUUAGAUGCUUUAUUCAACGGGCAGCAACUUGACAAGGCAAUUGCAUUAUUAGUCCAAAUUGUUGAUCAAGGUAUUAGCCCAAAUUUGCAAACAUACAAUUUACUUCUUAAUGGGUUGCACAAAGGUGGGAAGUCAAAGACUGCACAAAAGAUUUCCUUGUAUCUUUCCAUGAGAGGUUACCAUCCGGAUGUCCAAACAUAUAUAAUCAAUGAGCUUUGUAAAGGUGGAUUGUGAGGAUAAAGAAGGACCAUGCUGUUAAAAUAAAUGGAAGGCAUUUAUUGCCUCCCUUCCAUAAAUUUUGAGUCAGUUAUUCAUCUCUGGAGAAACAAAGUUAGAAUGGUGAAGCUGAGAAGCUUUUUUAAGAAAUGUUCACCAGAUGUGCAGAAAACAAGAAUUUACCUCAGCCAGUCACUAGGCACCCUUGUCCAGAGUCUCAUCCAUUUUCUCCUGCUCCCCUUUUUUUCCCACUAUCUUCAAUUUCAACUCCAGGCAAUAAUAGUGUCAUUGAGGUAACAGCUAGAGAAGUUGUUGUUGGUGCUGCUUUAUUAUUCACUGGUCCUGCAAGCCUUUUCAUGGUGGUGCCGAAGAAAAGCCACAAGAAUUUUUCUUUGAUGUGCAUGGUCAGUAGUCAUAGUUUUUCAGCCUACGAAAAAUGGUAAAGGCAGACCAAAAAAUACAUUGGAGGAAAUUAUUAAAAGGGUCAUUGUGAAUAAUAUCCCUAAGAAUUUGGCUUUUUUAUCAAGCCCAGUAGCUUCUUGUAAUCUAUGUAGCUGACCUUAAGGGUAUGAGGCUAUUGUUGUUGUGCAUGGUGAGCUGUCAUAGCUAAACGGUUAAAUGCUACAUUGUUUUAAGUCAUUAAUUGGGUGAAAUUUGUUUUUUUACAUCUAUUUGCAGAUGAAGAGGAUCCUAAAGUACAUCUUGGGCAGCUUGAUGUUGAUCAUAGGUUCCUGCCAAAUCUCUUUAUUUCCUCUUUCCUCCUUAUUCAUGGUCUUUGUUUAAGAGAAUUCUGAUUAAAAAAAAAGGACCAAAGUUCUUCCUAAUGGCAUACACUCAUUUUUUCAUUUAUCAUUUUCUGGAAAAUUUAACUUAGAAUCUAUGUCAAAGUAUUUCCAAGAAGCAGAGAGGGUGCUUAUGUUAUUGCAUCCAGAUAUUGAUGCCACUUUUUCCUGAUUUAGCUUAUAAUGAACUUCUUAGUAAGCUAUUUGAGGAACUUGGUGUGGCUGUUGAUGAUGUGACAGAAUUAAUUGAGAGUUGGCACCAAUUUUCUAGCAAAUUUUACUAUGGAGUAGAUAGAGACAGGGAAAGAAAGACAUUGUGCCUACUGGGAAUUGGUUCUGAAUGACAUACAGGAUACUUUUGAACUCCUGACCAAUUUACAAUGAAAAAGAUGGGUAGAUGAUUAUCUUCAGUAGUUUCCCCAAGCUUGCAAAAGAUAUGAAAGGGACAAUUAAGGCAGUAAAAUGGUUGGAUGUCUAAAUGUUUAGAUUAAUAUUCCUAUGAUUAAUGAAUCCAUCCCUUCUAUAAUGGAGGUAAUUUAUCUAGGGAUAAGUGUAAAUGUUUCUGUAAGUUUGUUAGGGGCAUUCAAAUGUCACAAAAUUUCAUCCCUGCAAGCUGCUACCGCAAUAUGCUCAUUGUGUAUUUGAAUAGCUCAUAUGCUUCCUCCCUACUGGAUGUGAAACAGAUAUUAAUGUUUACUUGGAUGGCCUUGAAGCUUAUGGCAUGUGCAGCAACUUUCUACAUCAUUAAAGUGUAUACUGUACUUGACAAGAAACUUGAGCAAGUUGAUUCUACUGUGGCUUUUUGGUCUCGGGAAAGAUUUGAAGCUUUUUCAUCUAUUUUUAUUUUGUAAGGGAGUGGAAAGAGCAGAUUCAUUCUUUUGUGCCUCUAUUGAUUUCAACCAUACUAGACCUUUCAAAAAUUCAUGGACCAUGUUUUCUUUCGAGAACAAUUGAUAUUAAAGAAAGUAUCAAUAUGCUGAGCUUCAUUAUAAUGUCCUAAUUUUAACAUUAUUGAGUUGAA